GACGAACGCUGGCGGCGUGCUUAACACAUGCAAGUCGAACGAAGAGGCGAACGGGUGAGUAAUACGUGAGUAACCGGCCCUCCUUGAUGGGAUAAACCUUGGGAACGGGGUCUAAUACCGAAUAAAUGGGGAUGAGCCCGCUACCUAUCAGAUUGUUGGUGGGGUUAUGUCCGACCAGGGCUGUGCCGGGUAGCCGGCCAGAACGGGUGACCGGCUACAUUGGGUAUGAGCGAGGGCCCAGACGCCUACGGGAGGCAGCAGUGGGGGAUAUUGCACGAAGGGCGAAUGCAUUAUGCAGCGGCGCAGGUUGGGGGAUUAAGGCUUGCAGGUUGUAAACAUCGUUCACUAUCGAACCGGUAGGUGGAGAAGAAGCGCCGGCUAACUACGUGCCAGCAGCCGCGGUAAUAC
This 408-nucleotide ribosomal RNA is filed under the name uncultured bacterium. Its description in RNAcentral is "partial 16S ribosomal RNA". It matches the Rfam family "Bacterial small subunit ribosomal RNA", at positions 28 to 526 of the family's 1533-position model. The record is from RNAcentral.